GGAUCAAUGAUGACACCCCAAAAAACAUUCCUUGGAAAAGCUGAACAAAAUGAGUGAAAACUCUAAACCCUUAUUCUCAUCAUGAUUGCGGUCC
This 94-nucleotide small nucleolar RNA is filed under the name Chinchilla lanigera (long-tailed chinchilla). RNAcentral's name for it is "Small nucleolar RNA SNORD116 (ENSCLAG00000018687.1)". It matches the Rfam family "Small nucleolar RNA SNORD116". From Rfam's summary of the family: HBII-85 is a member of the C/D class of snoRNAs, which contain the C (UGAUGA) and D (CUGA) box motifs. HBII-85 is encoded in a tandemly repeated array with another C/D snoRNA, HBII-52, in the Prader-Willi syndrome (PWS) region of chromosome 15. Lineage: Eukaryota; Metazoa; Chordata; Mammalia; Rodentia; Chinchillidae. The record is from Rfam by way of RNAcentral.